This 514-nucleotide ribosomal RNA is filed under the name uncultured bacterium. RNAcentral describes it as "partial 16S ribosomal RNA". It matches the Rfam family "Bacterial small subunit ribosomal RNA", at positions 28 to 523 of the family's 1533-position model. The record is from RNAcentral.
GAUGAACGCUGGCGGCGUGCCUAAUACAUGCAAGUCGAGCGAAUGGAUUAAGAGCUUGCUCUUAUGAAGUUAGCGGCGGACGGGUGAGUAACACGUGAGUAACCUGCCCAUAAGACUGGGAUAACUCCGGGAAACCGGGGCCAAUACCGGAUAACAUUUUGAAGCGAAUGGUUCGAAAUUGAAAGGCGGAUUCGGCUGUAACUUAUGGAUGGACCCGCGUCGCAUUAGCUAGUUGGGGAGGUAACGGCUCACAAAGGCAACGAUGCGUAGCCGACCUGAGAGGGUGAUCGGCCACACUGGGACUGAGACACGGCCCAGACUCCUACGGGAGGCAGCAGUAGGGAAUCUUCCGCAAUGGACGAAAGUCUGACGGAGCAACGCCGCGUGAGUGAUGAAGGCUUUCGGGUCGUAAAACUCUGUUGUUAGGGAAGAACGCCAGGUAGAGUAACUGCUACCUGUGUGACGGUACUUAACCAGAAAGCCACGGCUAACUACGUGCCAGCCGCCGCAGUAA